UUUGGAACUGCAAUUAAAACUGCUCGACUAGAGUUUGAUAGAGGAAAGCGGAAUACAUAGUGUAGAGGUGAAAUUCGUAGAUAUUAUGUAGAACACCAGUUGCGAAGGCGGCUUUCUGGAUCAACACUGACGCUGAGGCGCGAAAGUAUGGGUAGCAAAGAGGAUUAGAUACCCUCGUAGUCCAUACCAUAAACGAUGAUUGCUAGAUGUUGGAAAUUUAUUUUCAGUAUCGCAGCUAACGCAUUAAGCAAUCCGCCUGGGGAGUACGACCGCAAGGUUAAAACUCAAAUGAAUUGACGGGGACCCGCACAAGCGGUGGAGCAUGUGGUUUAAUUCGAAGAUACGCGCAGAACCUUACCAACCCUUGACAUGUCUGUCGCGAGUUUAGGAAACUAGACUUUUCGGUUCGGCCGGACAGAACACAGGUGCUGCAUGGCUGUCGUCAGCUCGUGUCGUGAGAUGUUGGGUUAAGUCCCGCAACGAGCGCAACCCCUACUUUUAGUUGCCAUCAGGUCAUGCUGGGCACUCUGAAAGAACUGCCAGUGAUAAGCUGGAGGAAGGUGGGGAUGACGUCAAGUCCUCAUGGCCCUUACGGGUUGGGCUACACACGUGCUA
Molecule: ribosomal RNA, 615 nt
Filed under: uncultured bacterium
Lineage: Bacteria
Description: bacterial SSU rRNA
Rfam family: Bacterial small subunit ribosomal RNA
Source: RNAcentral